AGGCCAUCAGCCAACAGUGGGCAUAGGAUAAGUGCAAUAUAGCAUCACUGCGUUUUGUCUGUCCAGUGGUGUCCUCACACCCUAGCGGUGAAGGGCGGAGCCACAUCUGGCACCUACAAUGUGGGAGGGACAUACCCAGCUGAUGCAAAUCCCAGCUGGACCCACGCAGGCCCACAUAGGAACUCCAGACUAUGAGCAACCUCUGGCGCUAGUUCCAAAACCCAGACUUUCCCACUCUAAAGACAGACACUCUGACGUCUUCCCACUUUUGUUUUCGGGUGUAGAUACUCCACUGACCUCCAUCUAAAUCCAGAUAGUCCAAUGGGCCAUUAACAAAAACUGCAAUUGCUACCCCCGCCCCCACGCCCUCCGACCCUGCUGAUAAGGUGCCAGAAAGUUUCUAUGCUCCUUUUCUUUCCGUUCUACUUUUAGGGUGUACAUAAAACACCCCUCCUUCACCUGCCUUCUAGCAAUACCAGCCAAGGCAAACACCUGGGGAGAAAAAGGGACCUGCCUGCUGGAGCAGACAGCCACAGCUGAGGCAUGGCAGAGCAGGCCUGUACCCCUCCACCUAGGCAAACAGAGCCUACCAAGCAAGGACAGUAGCUAAGAUCUUGCUGCUGAGAAUCAAAAUUUUCAUGCUGCUUUGUUUAAAUGCUUGUUCUUUGCCUAGUAGGAGCACCUAAAACAAAAUACCCAAAAAUUUCAUGCUUCUUUAUUUAAAUGUUUAUUUUUUUUCUGUAAUAGGAACACCUGAAAUAAUGUUUGUGUCUUCUAAACUAAGAUUGUCCUAAAAUUUCUUUUAAACUUUAAAAAUAAUAUUUAAUAUACUCCCAUAGGUCAAACCAACUACAUUAAUAACCAUUAUUUAAUCCUUAAUUAACAACUAAUUUCCUUUUACAGACAAGUUGUUACUGCCUAUCCCAGAUACAUAAUUAGCAGGACAUUUUCUUCCUCAGCCAUCUAAAUCAAAUGAAUUUUCAAUUCUUCCCUCUGGUUUCCUUAAUACAACACAGGUGACUCCCCACUUGAAGGAUGGCUUCUAGGACUGAAUUCCUCAAACACCCUUGCCCUUUUUCUAGGACCAUCACAGCAGAGCAGGAUGUGCUCGUAAGAAAACUGUACAUACACAUUCCCCACCCUGUGCAGACAUCCCCUGCUGGGGUUUUGCUUCUUGGUUGUGAUUUUUCUACAGGCUUACCUC
RNAcentral lists this long non-coding RNA (1204 nucleotides) under Mus musculus (house mouse). RNAcentral's name for it is "long non-coding RNA chr16:56124945-56126149". The record is from RNAcentral. Lineage: Eukaryota; Metazoa; Chordata; Mammalia; Rodentia; Muridae.